This 253-nucleotide ribosomal RNA is filed under the name uncultured bacterium. Its description in RNAcentral is "partial 16S ribosomal RNA". It matches the Rfam family "Bacterial small subunit ribosomal RNA", at positions 524 to 776 of the family's 1533-position model. The record is from RNAcentral.
GACGGAGAGGGCAAGCGUUGUCCCGACUUGCUGGGCGUAGAGCGCACGGAGGCGGCCCGAUGCGUCGCUGCUGAAAGCGCCCCGCUUAACGGGGCGAGGCGUGGCGAUACGAUCGGGCUGGAGGCCAGCAGAGGGUGGCGGAAUUCCGGGUGUAGUGGUGAAAUGCGUAGAGAUCCGGAGGAACGCCGGUGGCGCAAGUGGCCACCGGGGCUGGACCUGACUCUGAGGUGCGAAAGCGUGGGGAGCGAACCGG